UUAAGUUAAUAAGGGCGCACGGUGGAUGCCUUGGCACUAGGAGCCGACGAAGGACGUGACAAACGACGAUAUACCUUGGGUAGCUGUAAGUAAGCGAUGAUCCAGGGAUUUCCGAAUGGGGGAACCCAACAGGUAAUACCUGUUACCCACAUCUGUUAAGGAUGUGAGGAGGAAGACGCAGUGAACUGAAACAUCUAAGUAGCUGCAGGAAGAGAAAGCAAAAGCGAUUGCCUUAGUAGCGGCGAGCGAAACGGCAGAAGGGCAAACCGAAGAGUUUACUCUUCGGGGUUGUAGGACUGCAAUGUGGACUCAAAGAUUAUAGAAGAAUGAUUUGGGAAGAUCAGCCAAAGAGAGUAAUAGCCUCGUAUUUAAAAUAGUCUUUGUACCUAGCAGUAUCCUGAGUACGGCGGGACACGUGAAAUCCCGUCGGAAUCUGGGAGGACCAUCUCCCAACCCUAAAUACUCCCUAGUGACCGAUAGUGAACCAGUACCGUGAGGGAAAGGUGAAAAGCACCCCGGGAGGGGAGUGAAAUAGAACCUGAAACCGUGUGCCUACAACAAGUUCGAGCCCGUUAAUGGGUGAGAGCGUGCCUUUUGUAGAAUGAACCGGCGAGUUACGUUAUGAUGCGAGGUUAAGUUGAAGAGACGGAGCCGUAGGGAAACCGAGUCUGAACAGGGCGAAUUAGUAUCAUGACGUAGACCCGAAACCAUGUGACCUACCCAUGAGCAGGUUGAAGGUGCGGUAAGACGCACUGGAGGACCGAACCAGGGCACGUUGAAAAGUGCUUGGAUGACUUGUGGGUAGCGGAGAAAUUCCAAACGAACUUGGAGAUAGCUGGUUCUCUCCGAAAUAGCUUUAGGGCUAGCGUCGACAUUAGAGAUUCUUGGAGGUAGAGCACUGUUUGGGUGAGGGGUCCAUCCCGGAUUACCAAUCUCAGAUAAACUCCGAAUGCCAAUGAAUUAUGGUCGGCAGUCAGACUGCGAGUGCUAAGAUCCGUAGUCGAAAGGGAAACAGCCCAGACCACCAGCUAAGGUCCCAAAAUAAUUGUUAAGUGGAAAAGGAUGUGGGGUUGCACAGACAACUAGGAUGUUAGCUUAGAAGCAGCUAUUCAUUCAAAGAGUGCGUAAUAGCUCACUAGUCGAGUGACCCUGCGCCGAAAAUGUACCGGGGCUAAAACAAUUUACCGAAGCUGUGGAUACCUUUAUAGGUAUGGUAGGAGAGCGUUCUAUGUGUGAUGAAGGUAUACCGUGAGGAGUGCUGGAACGCAUAGAAGUGAGAAUGCCGGUAUGAGUAGCGAAAGACAGGUGAGAAUCCUGUCCACCGUAAGACUAAGGUUUCCAGGGGAAGGCUCGUCCGCCCUGGGUUAGUCGGGACCUAAGGAGAGACCGAAAGGUGUAUCCGAUGGACAACAGGUUGAUAUUCCUGUACUAGAGUAUGUAGUGAUGGAGGGACGCAGUAGGCUAACUAAAGCAGACGAUUGGAAGAGUCUGUCUAAGCAGUGAGGUGUGAAUUGAGUCAAAUGCUUAAUUCUAUAACAUUGAGCUGUGAUGGGGAGCGAAGUUUAGUAGCGAAGUUAGUGACGUCACACUGCCAAGAAAAGCUUCUAGCGUUUAAACAUACUCUACCCGUACCGCAAACCGACACAGGUAGUCGAGGCGAGUAGCCUCAGGUGAGCGAGAGAACUCUCGUUAAGGAACUCGGCAAAAUGACCCCGUAACUUCGGGAGAAGGGGUGCUGACUUUAGGUCAGCCGCAGUGAAUAGGCCCAAGCAACUGUUUAUCAAAAACACAGCUCUCUGCUAAAUCGUAAGAUGAUGUAUAGGGGGUGACGCCUGCCCGGUGCUGGAAGGUUAAGAGGAGUGCUUAGCGUAAGCGAAGGUAUGAAUUGAAGCCCCAGUAAACGGCGGCCGUAACUAUAACGGUCCUAAGGUAGCGAAAUUCCUUGUCGGGUAAGUUCCGACCCGCACGAAAGGCGUAAUGAUUUGGGCACUGUCUCAACGAGAGACUCGGUGAAAUUUUAGUACCUGUGAAGAUGCAGGUUACCCGCGACAGGACGGAAAGACCCCAUGGAGCUUUACUGCAGUUUGAUAUUGAGUGUCUGUACCACAUGUACAGGAUAGGUAGGAGUCUAAGAGAUCGGGACGCCAGUUUCGAAGGAGACGCUGUUGGGAUACUACCCUUGUGUUAUGGCCACUCUAACCCAGAUAGGUGAUCCCUAUCGGAGACAGUGUCUGACGGGCAGUUUGACUGGGGCGGUCGCCUCCUAAAAGG
RNAcentral lists this ribosomal RNA (2271 nucleotides) under Streptococcus pneumoniae. RNAcentral's name for it is "bacterial LSU rRNA". It matches the Rfam family "Bacterial large subunit ribosomal RNA", at positions 3 to 2297 of the family's 2925-position model. Lineage: Bacteria; Bacillati; Bacillota; Bacilli; Lactobacillales; Streptococcaceae. The record is from RNAcentral.